RNAcentral lists this transfer RNA (91 nucleotides) under bacterium. RNAcentral's name for it is "tRNA-Ser". It matches the Rfam family "tRNA". Rfam says of the family: Transfer RNA (tRNA) molecules are approximately 80 nucleotides in length. Their secondary structure includes four short double-helical elements and three loops (D, anti-codon, and T loops). Further hydrogen bonds mediate the characteristic L-shaped molecular structure. tRNAs have two regions of fundamental functional importance: the anti-codon, which is responsible for specific mRNA codon recognition, and the 3' end, to which the tRNAs corresponding amino acid is attached (by aminoacyl-tRNA synthetases). tRNAs cope with the degeneracy of the genetic code in two manners: having more than one tRNA (with a specific anti-codon) for a particular amino acid; and 'wobble' base-pairing, i.e. permitting non-standard base-pairing at the 3rd anti-codon position. The record is from RNAcentral.
GGUGGGGUGCGCCGAAUUUGGUAAGGCACCGCUCUCGAAAAGCGGCUCCCAAUUUUUGGGAUUGUGGGUUCGAGUCCCACCCCCACCGCCA